This 253-nucleotide ribosomal RNA is filed under the name uncultured bacterium. Its description in RNAcentral is "partial 16S ribosomal RNA". It matches the Rfam family "Bacterial small subunit ribosomal RNA", at positions 524 to 776 of the family's 1533-position model. The record is from RNAcentral.
UACAGAGGGUGCGAGCGUUGUUCGGAAUUAUUGGGCGUAAAGGGUGCGUAGGUGGGUUGGUAAGUCAGUGGUGAAAUCCCCGAGCUUAACUUGGGAACUGCCAUUGAUACUAUCAAUCUUGAAUAUUGUGGAGGUUAGCGGAAUAUGUCAUGUAGCGGUGAAAUGCUUAGAUAUGACAUAGAAUACCAAUUGCGAAGGCAGCUGGCUACACGAAUAUUGACACUCAGGCACGAAAGCGUGGGGAUCAAACAGG